ACUGUUCUCCAACUGCCUUCAUCAUUCUGAAACCAGAACACAACUAAUGUUGAGGAUGACUCAUUUACCCUCCUGCCACCUAAAGAGAGGCAGAAACUGUAUGAUGUGUCUGUUUCUAUAAGUCCCAAACAUAGGUAGAAACUGUCUGAUGUGUCUGUGUCUAUAAGUCCCAUAACAUAGGUAGGGUUGCUGCAAUGAUUUGCCGGUCCAGUCAGAGAGACUGAGG
Molecule: long non-coding RNA, 226 nt
Organism: Sander lucioperca (pikeperch)
Lineage: Eukaryota; Metazoa; Chordata; Actinopteri; Perciformes; Percidae
Exons: 2
Source: RefSeq, a predicted model, not a curated record